GACGAUCCCUAGCUGGUCUGAGAGGAUGAUCCAGCCACACUGGAACUGAGACACGGUCCAGACUCCUACGGGAGGCAGCAGUGGGGAAUAUUGCACAAUGGGCGCAAGCCUGAUGCAGCCAUGCCGCGUGUAUGAAGAAGGCCUUCGGGUUGUAAAGUACUUUCAGCGGGGAGGAAGGCGUUGAGGUUAAUAACCUCAGCGAUUGACGUUACCCGCAGAAGAAGCACCGGCUAACUCCGUGCCAGCAGCCGCGGUAAUACGGAGGGUGCAAGCGUUAAUCGGAAUUACUGGGCGUAAAGCGCACGCUAGGCGGUCUGUCAAGUCGGAUGUGAAAUCCCCGGGCUCAACCGUGGGAACUGCAUUCGAAACUGGCAGGCUAGAGUCUUGUAGAGGGGGGUAGAAUUCCAGGUGUAGCGGUGAAAUGCGUAGAGAUCUGGAGGAAUACCGGUGGCGAAGGCGGCUCCCUGGACAAAGACUGACGCUCAGUGUGCGAAAGCGUGGGGAGCAAACAGGAUUAGAUACCCUGGUAGUCCACGCCGUAAACGAUGUCGACUUGGAGGUUGUGCCCUUGAGGCGUGGCUUCCGGAGCUAACGCGUUAAGUCGACCGCCUGGGGAGUACGGCCGCAAGGUUAAAACUCAAAUGAAUUGACGGGGGCCCGCACAAGCGGUGGAGCAUGUGGUUUAAUUCGAUGCAACGCGAAGAACCUUACCUACUCUUGACAUCCAGAGAACUUUCCAGAAAUGGAUUGGUGCCUUCGGGAACUCUGAGACAGGUGCUGCAUGGCUGUCGUCAGCUCGUGUUGUGAAAUGUUGGGUUAAGUCCCGCAACGAGCGCAACCCUUAUCCUUUGUUGCCAGCGGUCCGGCCGGGAACUCACAAGGAGACUGCCAGUGAUAAACUGGAGGAAGGUGGGGAUGACGUCAAGUCAUCAUGGGCCCUGUGGGAGGGGGGGUACACACGUGCUACAAUGGCGCAUACAAAGAGAAGCGACCUCCCGAGAGCAAGCGGACCUCAUAAAGUGCGUCUUACUCCGGAUUGGAGUCUGCAACUCGACUCCCUGAAGUCGGAAUCGCUA
This 1076-nucleotide ribosomal RNA is filed under the name Enterobacter cloacae. RNAcentral's name for it is "bacterial SSU rRNA". It matches the Rfam family "Bacterial small subunit ribosomal RNA", at positions 275 to 1337 of the family's 1533-position model. Lineage: Bacteria; Pseudomonadati; Pseudomonadota; Gammaproteobacteria; Enterobacterales; Enterobacteriaceae. The record is from RNAcentral.